GUACACAAAAAUGCACAUGCUGUGAGCUCGAUGAGUAGGGCGGGACACGUGGUAUCCUGUCUGAAUAUGGGGGGACCAUCCUCCAAGGCUAAAUACUCCUGACUGACCGAUAGUGAACCAGUACCGUGAGGGAAAGGCGAAAAGAACCCCGGCGAGGGGAGUGAAAAAGAACCUGAAACCGUGUACGUACAAGCAGUGGGAGCACAGAGCAAUCUGUGUGACUGCGUACCUUUUGUAUAAUGGGUCAGCGACUUAUAUUCUGUAGCAAGGUUAACCGAAUAGGGGAGCCGAAGGGAAACCGAGUCUUAACUGGGCGUUAAGUUGCAGGGUAUAGACCCGAAACCCGGUGAUCUAGCCAUGGGCAGGUUGAAGGUUGGGUAACACUAACUGGAGGACCGAACCGACUAAUGUUGAAAAAUUAGCGGAUGACUUGUGGCUGGGGGUGAAAGGCCAAUCAAACCGGGAGAUAGCUGGUUCUCCCCGAAAGCUAUUUAGGUAGCGCCUCGUGAAUUCAUCUCCGGGGGUAGAGCACUGUUUCGGCAAGGGGGUCAUCCCGACUUACCAACCCGAUGCAAACUGCGAAUACCGGAGAAUGUUAUCACGGGAGACACACGGCGGGUGCUAACGUCCGUCGUGAAGAGGGAAACAACCCAGACCGCCAGCUAAGGUCCCAAAGUCAUGGUUAAGUGGGAAACGAUGUGGGAAGGCCCAGACAGCCAGGAUGUUGGCUUAGAAGCAGCCAUCAUUUAAAGAAAGCGUAAUAGCUCACUGGUCGAGUCGGCCUGCGCGGAAGAUGUAACGGGGCUAAACCAUGCAC
RNAcentral lists this ribosomal RNA (817 nucleotides) under Escherichia coli. RNAcentral's name for it is "partial 23S ribosomal RNA". It matches the Rfam family "Bacterial large subunit ribosomal RNA", at positions 375 to 1194 of the family's 2925-position model. Lineage: Bacteria; Pseudomonadati; Pseudomonadota; Gammaproteobacteria; Enterobacterales; Enterobacteriaceae. The record is from RNAcentral.